RNAcentral lists this ribosomal RNA (1124 nucleotides) under uncultured bacterium. RNAcentral's name for it is "bacterial SSU rRNA". It matches the Rfam family "Bacterial small subunit ribosomal RNA", at positions 279 to 1401 of the family's 1533-position model. The record is from RNAcentral.
AUCGGUAGGGGUUCUGAGAGGAAGGCCCCCCACAUUGGGACUGAGACACGGCCCAAACUCCUACGGGAGGCAGCAGUGAGGGAUAUUGGUCAAUGGCCGUAAGGCUGAACCAGCCAAGUAGCGUGCAGGAUGACGGCCCUAUGGGUUGCAGACUGCUUUUGCGCGGGGAUAACUGGCGGCACGCGUGCCGCCUUGCAGGUACCGCGCGAAUAAGGACCGGCUAAUUCCGUGCCAGCAGCCGCGGUAAUACGGAAGGUCCCGGUGUUAUCCGGAUUCAUUGGGUUUAAAGGGAGCGCAGGCCGCCCGUCAAGCGUGUUGUGAAAUGCAGUCGCCCAACGGCUGAGCUGCAGCGCGAACUGGCGGGCUUGAGUGCGCGCAACGCCGGCGGAACUCGCCGUGUAGCGGUGAAAUGCUUAGAUAUGGCGAAGAACCCCGAUUGCGAAGGCAGCCGGCGGGCGCGCUACUGACGCUCAUGCUCGAAAGCGCGGGUAUCGAACAGGAUUAGAUACCCUGGUAGUCCGCGCGGUAAACGAUGGAUGCCCGCCCUCCGGGCGAUUGAGUUUGGGGGGCCAAGCGAAAGCGUUAAGCAUCCCACCUGGGGAGUACGCCGGCAACGGUGAAACUCAAAGGAAUUGACGGGGGCCCGCACAAGCGGAGGAACAUGUGGUUUAAUUCGAUGAUACGCGAGGAACCUUACCCGGGCUUGAAUUGCAGAAGACGGAUCCAGAGAUGGUGACUCCCUUCGGGGCUUCUGUGAAGGUGCUGCAUGGUUGUCGUCAGCUCGUGCCGUGAGGUGUCGGCUCAAGUGCCAUAACGAGCGCAACCCCCCUCUGUAGUUGCCAUCAGGUUUAGGCUGGGCACUCUACGGACACUGCCACCGCAAGGUGUGAGGAAGGUGGGGACGACGUCAAAUCAGCACGGCCCUUACGUCCGGGGCGACACACGUGUUACAAUGGCCGGUACAGCGAGCAGGCCCCCCGCAAGGUGGGCCCAAUCAACAAAGCCGGCCUCAGUUCGGACUGGGGUCUGCAACCCGACCCCACGAAGCUGGAUUCGCUAGUAAUCGCGCAUCAGCCAUGGCGCGGUGAAUACGUUCCCGGGCCUUGCACUCACCGCCCGUCAAG